UUGUAAGAGCUGUUGGUGGGCUGAAACAGGCUAUUAGUGGGAGAUUUAGGAGUUUGUUUUCAGACAAAGAGCGUAACAGUGUUUAUAAAACUCCUGUGGUGUGUGUGUCUCAUGGCGACCUGGACCUCGUCUGUGUUUCUGGCAUAAAGAGCUAUGAUUUGGCCGAGGUGUCAAAAAGUAGUUGAGGGAAGGCUUUGCAAUUAUGGAAUGUGGUGUAAGGAUCCCUGUGGUGCUUUGAGAUCUGCGGUCGAUCACCUGCCGUCUCUUAAAAUGCCUAUGGGUAAAAGACAGAAGGGGGAAACUAACUCAAGAUAUAAUGAUGCUGCUUUGGUUUCUCCCUCACUCCAUCUUCUUUCUCUCUUUUCCUCCUCUUUCUUUUCCUCUCAAGCUCUCAUUUAUUCCUCCUCGCUGUUUCUCUCCUUUUUCUCUUUCUCCCUCCCUCUGCACUCUCCCUCGCUCUAUCCAUUGCAUGUAGACAAUUGACACAGGCAGCUAUCUCCUUGCCCACACUUGCAGAAUACCGUUGCUAUGUUAUCGUGGGGCCCGUUCAAGGAUGUCUCCAGCCUUGAGAUAAUGAGCAACACUUCCAGAAGAUGUCUGUUCACCGAACUCUGAGACUGAAUCUGUGUACCACUGCAGCUGUGUGCAUGGAAUGCUCUAUGGGAAAAGUGGCAUAUACAGUGCCUUCAGAAAGUAUUCAUACCACUUGACUUAUUCCACAUUUUGAUGUGUUACAGCCUGAAUUAAAAAUUGAUUAAAUAUAUUUUUCUCACCCAUCUACUAACAAUACCCCAUAAUGACAAAGUGAUUUUAUUUUUGCACAUUUAUUGAAAAUGAAAUACAGAAAGGUCUCACUUAGAUAAGUAUUCACACCCCUGAGUCAAAACUUUGUAGGAUCACCUUUGGCAGCGUUUACAGCAGUGAGUCUUUAAAGCCUUGUUCAGGCCUUAAUGCUCAAAUCAGUUUUGUUUUUCAAAUCUGUUUUGGACUACUGGCUGUCCAAACAGCAAGUUACAAGUGACCAAAUUGGAUUUGUGUGUGUUCAGACAGCAGUCAUUUGCUGACAAGGCUAUGCUAGUUGUCAUAGUAACGGGGGGGUGUACAGUGGUGUAGGUUGAUUGGUGGUGGUGCUCAUGCUUCCUGUCACUCAGAAGUUAUGCAGCGGGGCUUCCUGAGUGGCCCAGCGGUCUAAGACACUGCAUCACACUGCUAGAGGCAUUACUACAGACCUGGGUUCAUUCCCGGGCUGUGCCACAACCGGGCCGUGGCCCGCAGUCCCAUAGGACGGCGCACAAUUGGCCCAGCGUGGUCCGGGUUAGGCUGGUGGGGCUUUACUUGGCUCAUCUCGCUCUAGUGACUCCUUGUGGCGGGCUGACUCCUGUCGCCAGUUGAACGGUGUUUCCUCCGGCACAUUGGUGCUGGCGGGUGUUAAGGAGCGCAGUUAGGUGGUUCAUGUUUUGGAGGAUGCAUGACUUCGUCGAGCCCGUUGGGGAGUUGCAGCGAUGAGACAAGAUGGAAAAUUGGGGAGAAAAGGCCACUUUUAAAGCCUCAAAAGGAUAAGAGGAUCCAACUUUCCAACUAACCCUAACCCUAACCCUAACCCUAGUUAACUAUUUAGCUUUCUAGCACAUUCACUGAUUUGUUUGUAAAAAUUAACAAGCUAGGUAGCUACCACAUGUUCUUUUCUAACUGUCAACAGAGUAGCCUAGCUAGUAAGCAACAAGAUAUGCCAAAUAACAGUCUAAAAAACACUUGAUGGCAAAUAAUCAGAUGGCCAGGAAUCAGAUUUGUACCUGAGCUUCAUGGGUGGUUUGAAAUGUGGCCUGAUAUAUCAGAUUCCAUGUGCUUUCUGGCUAUUCAGACUGCAGGAAAAGUAACAGAUUCUAAUUAGAUAUGCAAAUAAAUAGGAUUUGAGUCACUUCAAACUGCCAAUGUGAACACGGCAUUAGAGCUUUCCACACCUGGAUUGUGUAGCAUUUGCCCAUUAUUAUUUACCCAAAUUGUCAAGCUCUGUCAAAUUGGUUGUUAAUCAUUGCUAGACAACCACUUUUAGGUCUUGCCAUAGAUUUUCAAGUAGAUUUAAGUCAAAACAGUAACUCGGCCACAUUCAUUGUCUUCUUGGUAAAAACUCUAGUGUAUAUUUGGCCAUGUGUUUUAGGUUAUGGACCUGCUGAAAGGUAAAUUAAUCUCCCAGUGUCUGGUGGAAAGUAGACUGAACCAGGUUUUCCUCUAUGAUUUUGCCGGUGCUUAGCUCCAUUACAUUUAUUUUUUAUCCUGAAAAACUCCCCAGUCCUUAACGAUUACAAGCAUACCCAUAACAUGACGCAGCCUUCACUAUACUUGAAAUAUGCAGAGUGGUACUCAGUAAUGUGUUGUAUUGGAUUUACCCCAUAACACUUUAUAUUCAGGACAAAAAGUUAAUUGCCUUGACACAUUCUUUUCAGUAUUACUUUAGUCCCUUGUUACAAACAGGAUGCAUGUUUUGGAAUAUUUUUAUUCCGUAUAAGGCUUCUUUCUUUUCACUGUCAAUUAGGUUAGUUUUGUAGAGUAACUAUUCUGUUGUUGAUCCAUCCUUUUUUUCCCCUAUCACUGCCAUUAAACUAACUAUUUUAAAGUCACCAUUGGCCUCAUGGUGAAAUCAAUGAGCUGUUUCCUUCAUUUCCGGUAACUUAGUUAGUAAUGACGCCUGUAUCUUUGUAGUGACUGGGUGUUAUGAUACACCAUCCAAUGUGUAAAUAAUAACUUCACCAUGCUCAAAGAGAUAUUCAAUGUCUGCUUUUGUAAAUGUUUUACCCAUCUACCAAUAGGUGCCUUUCUUUGCGAGGCAUUGGAAACCUCCCUGGUCUUUGUGGUUCAAAUCCACUGCUCGACUGAGGGACCUUACAGAUAAUUGAAUGUGUGGGGUACAGAGAUGAGGUAGUCAUUAAAAAAAUCAUGUUAAACACUAUUAUUGCACACAGAGUGAGUCCGUGGAACUUAUUAUGUGACUUGUUAAGCACGUAUUUACUCCUGACCUUGUUUAGGCUUGAUAUAACAAAGGCGUUGAAUACUUAUUGACUCAAGACAUUCAAGCUUUUCGUUUCUAAUCAAAUCUGUAAUAAAAAAAAGUGAAAAACAUAAAUACACUUUGAAAUGAUGGGGUGUUGUUUGUAGGCCAGUGACAAAAUACAUCUACAUUUAAUACAUUUUCAAAUUCAGGCUGUAACAAUGUGGAAAAAGUCAAGGGGUGUGAAUACUUUCUGAAGGCACUAUACCAUUCAGAAUCUGAAAUCAAUCAUUGUAAUCCACGAUAAAGGGUUAUGGAAUGUUGGAUCACUUUUACAGUAUUUUGCUUUUAAUCAAUAAACUGCUGCCCUUUU
Molecule: long non-coding RNA, 3359 nt
Organism: Oncorhynchus keta (chum salmon)
Lineage: Eukaryota; Metazoa; Chordata; Actinopteri; Salmoniformes; Salmonidae
Exons: 2
Source: RefSeq, a predicted model, not a curated record